AAAGGGCAUUUUAGUA
RNAcentral lists this small RNA (16 nucleotides) under Arabidopsis thaliana (thale cress). Its description in RNAcentral is "ATSL116170". The record is from RNAcentral. Lineage: Eukaryota; Viridiplantae; Streptophyta; Magnoliopsida; Brassicales; Brassicaceae.